This 166-nucleotide long non-coding RNA is filed under the name Mustela putorius furo (domestic ferret). RNAcentral's name for it is "lncRNA (ENSMPUG00000029011.1)". The record is from RNAcentral. Lineage: Eukaryota; Metazoa; Chordata; Mammalia; Carnivora; Mustelidae.
CUGCCAUGGAAAGUCCUUCCCUGAGUGAUUCAUGGUCACUGCCUCUGGCUCUUCUAUGAGGCUACAUGGAGCUUUACUGAAGCAGGGCAUAUGCCUGCUUGUAAGUCAAUCACCAGCUGAGAGCAAUGGGGUUUCCCUGACUGACUUCAGAUGGAUCAUUGCUCAU